CACAUUUAUUCCAGAUAACACUGGGCCCAAUGGUAAGGUAACAAUGGCUAUAGAGAAACUAGAUAGCCUUUCUGAUGAACUAAGGAAGAACUCAGGAGUCAUUGAUACCUGGGACAGGUGGUUUGGAUGGAUGAAUGGCGGCAGAGAACCCUAUUCCAGGUUGGGACAGCAGUUCUCAUAAUGAUUAUCAUCUUUCUAUUUCUAACCUGUUGUGUACUUCCUUGUAUACAGAUAUACUUACAUAAGACAGUAGGGAAGACUAUAGACAACGUAACUCCUACUUUCCUACAUCAGGACGUCACUGACCUAGAAUGUGACACACCACAUACACCCCUCCAAUCCCAUCAGUUCAAACAGACAACUGCAUUCCUGUAGGGAUAGCGUAG
Molecule: non-coding RNA, 386 nt
Organism: Pelobates cultripes (western spadefoot toad)
Lineage: Eukaryota; Metazoa; Chordata; Amphibia; Anura; Pelobatidae
Source: the annotation of a GenBank genome assembly